Hordeum vulgare subsp. vulgare (domesticated barley) is the source of this 136-nucleotide non-coding RNA. The record is from Rfam. NCBI's taxonomy places the organism in Eukaryota, Viridiplantae, Streptophyta, Magnoliopsida, Poales, Poaceae.
UUCGUACUCCCUCCCUUUCAAAAUUUUUAUCUUAGAUUUGUCUACAAAUGGAUGUAUCUAAAUACUANNNNNUGACUAGAUACAUUCAUAUCUACACAAAUGUAAGACAAGAAUUUUGGGACGGAGGAAGUACUAA